Phasianus colchicus (ring-necked pheasant) is the source of this 5031-nucleotide long non-coding RNA. RefSeq lists it as uncharacterized. The record is from RefSeq and is a predicted model, not a curated record. NCBI's taxonomy places the organism in Eukaryota, Metazoa, Chordata, Aves, Galliformes, Phasianidae.
GGCGCGUGGCGGUGCGGGCGUGUGGUGGGGCGAGUGCGGGCCGGCGGGUGGGGGCCGCUCCGUCGGCACCGGAGUGACGCUGCACGAAAGCGCCGGGCAGGGAGGCCGGAGAGGCAGCGAGGAGGGCGGUCGCGUCCUUCUGAGCGGCGGCGGGAGGAUGAGCUGCCGGUGAAGGAGUUGUUCCCUGCUGCGGGGCGCGCGGGGCUGGCCGCUGCUCCCCUUCCCGCCACUUAGGCUCUAACGGAGCGUUCGAGUCUUUGGACGCGCGGCAAUUAGCAGGGCGGUAAAAAUGUCAGCCUGAUGUGCUCAGGUGAAAAACGGCGUGGAAGGUACAGUGGCGUGUGGUUAACUCGCCGCUGCGUGGCAGGAGAACGAGCGGCUCAGCCCGUGGAGCGGGGUGGCAUGGCAAGGAAAGCGGUGUCACCCACGUCCAUCGUUUCCAAUCGAGCAGUUCCACACGCACCUCUUAAUGAUGCAACGUUUCGAUCCUUUCCGUGCGGCCUUCCAAAUACAAACGGAGUAGUCGCAUCACCUGCCCGUGAAUAUCAGAGUGAGAACUUGCAGACAUUCGAUGGCAAAACGUGAGUGCUGUGAGGCACUGCUCCGUGUGAGUGCCUCAGUGGCAGCACAGACUGAAGUGCAGCAGAGUUGCCAACCUCCUGACUUCACUGCCAGGAAUGUAAAUCAACAUUAAGGAUGAUUUUUAAGAGAAAUAGCAAGUUAAACAUUUGUACAAACACAUCAUCAAAUAGAGGUUGUACCGCCUCUCUCUAAACCUCUUGCCUGCUGGCAAAAAUAAAACUGUUCCAGUGACAUUUUCCCUGCUCUGCUGUGACAAGGGCUGCAUAAAUAUAGACACCGUGGAUUAGAAUAGACUUCAGCAAUCUCCAACUUCCUUUCUAGCAGCCGCUUCUGCAGAGUUGCCCAUAGCUAUGGGUGAAAAACAGGGAGCCUAAGCUGGGGCAAAUCCUCUGCUACUACCAGGAGCUGAAGAGGUUGCUGCUCUUUGCCAAGAAAGUGUAGUCAGGUUGCUGUCACACAUAGGACAGGCAAGGACUGAUAUCCAGGGUCAGCAGGAGUGAUGCUUCUCAUGUGUGCAUGGCACUUCAAGUUUUGGGGUCCUAUGGGCCUCAAGAACAGCUUUUCUCUGAGUGCAUUUCACUUCUCAUCAGCAGGCAGCUGAAAAAUUGGUCUCACAUGGGUUAUGUGUGGAAAGCAGAACAAUAUGCCAAGACAAGAUGAAACAGAUGUUUCAGGUCUCCAUUACAAUUCAGACAGAAAUUUAAAUCAGCUGAAAACAUCAGAACAAAAUGCUUUGUAAGUAUUUCUCCACUAUCAGCUACUCAGGGGAUAGUUACAGGUAAUAUACCUUUCAGUAGCUAUUGCUUCCCUUGCAGCCUUUGAUGUGAUCUUGUUAAAGGUAGAUUCCUUUUAGGAAUGUGUGCAGAGAUCUAAAGCAAGUCAUCUGGAGCUCUGGGAGCCUGGCAUCCCACAGACUGGUUUCCAAACUUGCUCGAGAUAUUUGUGUAAAUAGGAACUGUUGACACAGAGAAUAUCACGAUGUAUCUCAAAAGUUGUGCUGUAUUUGUAUUUGUCCUUGUAUUCCAAUGAAAGGUUUAUCUUUCUGAAUUAGACUUUCUUCAAGCCUAUUCCAAAAUUAGAUGUAGAGAAGGAGCAAUAACAUCAGUAAAAAAGAUGAAGGGUCACCUCUUUCCUACCCUUACAGGCAGGACAUGACAGAUGCCAGUUGGAACAAUUUUCUACUAAAAAAAAUGAGUUUUGAGAGAACAAAUAUUUUCAUAGAAAGAGUUUGCUUUCCUCCAAAUAUGACUCCCUUUCAUAAACCCCAAAGACUUAAAAGCAAAAGAGAUUGGAUUGUUGGCAGUUUGGGGAUUCUUCCCCUCCCUUUCCCCCAGCAUUUUCCAAUGGAAAAUAUUCAGGGUUUGGGUUUUUAGCCCUUUGCUAAAAUGUCAACAUUUUCCAAAGGCUGAAGGAGGGAAAAAGAGAAGAAAAGAAAAACAUGUUCUGACCAGCUCCAGUCAGAGCCAAAUGGCUCAAUUCUGGAUAUGGUCAGGGAAGUAUGCUGGAGGGGAGAAAAUGGGAGCGCCUUGGUUCCAAGCGCAGUCUGGGCUGAGGACUGUGUAUCACAAUCCAUUUGUAUGAGUCAUUCCAGUCGACAUUUCACCAGGGGAGCAUGUGUAGUGGCUUUUAAGCACUUCAGGUCAAUAUGUUACUUGCAAACACUGCCUCACUGCUUACUACGGCCACUCUGGCUCUCUGUGUGCAUCUGGGAUGUGCACAGGUACAUUCUGUUCAAGUCCUCCAAUAUUUCCAUGACGUCUUUAACUCACAGAGACAACAAUAACACCUGGAACCUAUCCAGACCUGUGAUUUCAGCUCUCCCCCAUUCGGAAAAGAGGAGAAAGAAGUAGAACAAAGCCUACAAAAGCCUUGGACAGCUAUGGAAUUGGGAGAAGCACUGGUAGAACUAAGUUGACAUAAAGGCAGCUAAACUACUCAUGCAUGUGCAUGCACCAUCCUGCUUUUAGUGGAAAAGAAGUGGCUUCAUUUCUCCAAUGUGCUGCUGGUCCCCAGCUGCUUCCUCAGUCUCCAGAAAGCUGUCCCAGCAUUUGGGCACCUUCAAAUCUGAUGAAGAGAAGGACUGCCUUUCCUUCUGCCUAUCCAAGGUAUUUCCCAGAGCUGCAAUGAGAGCUCUUCUAUGGAAGACCCAGACUAGGUCUUUGUCCCCCUCUAGUGACUUGACUGCAAAAGAAGUUUUUGGAGUACUACCUCCGAGCAAGACAGUCACUACUUCGGGCCAGGAUGUUGAAUGGUUUCCUUUUCAAAGGCUAGUAGGAUAUCUAAGCAUCACGAGAAGGUCAUAUAUUUAUACACAUUGAAACAUUAUCCAUUAACAAGAUAAACAGUAAUUAGGAACUUGACUUUCUGCUCUAAUAAGCUGUGUGUGCCUGCUUUCCUCUCAUGGAGAAUGGCAGUCACAGACUUCACAUGACAACCGUGUAGUCCUGCAGGAGACCUCGCUAGGUCCACUGUCACCAGAGAAAGAGCACACACAGAGGGACUCCUAUAACCAAACACUUGCUGAGUCACAGCUCAGUCACCCCAGCACUUAGCAAGGCAUGCCAGCCAUCUGUCACCAGCACAUCCUCCUCACUGCUCUGUGACUCUGCGGGGAAAACAACAGGAGGCAGAUUACAUUGACUGAGAAGCCAGGCUCUCGUGCAUCUUGACUGAGUAAUUCCUGCCUCGCCUUCUAACCAGUGCUAAAGCCUUUGGCUCAUCUUCGUUUGGCCCUUUGUCGGGGAAGAUAGUGACAUGCAGGUUCAAACAUUGAGCGCUUUGGCUGACUAAUGAGUGACUCCAAACAAAGCCUGCUCUGGCAAGACAUUGAUAGUGUUGUGCAAAGCGUCCCUACUACAGACGAGUCAUCUACACUGGCCUACUCACCAGUGCUCUAAGUAAACCACAGUGUUCGAAAAAAAAAAAAAAAAACAAAAUAGAGGGAACCCUGUUUCCUACAGACUUGUGACCCAACUAUGUCCAGUAAGGAGGAGCAUGUGAGCAGAGAUCCUGUUGUGUCUCCUGUCCCAACUGACCUCCCUCCCGUGUUCUCCCUCCAUUUAGUUGUGACCUAAGGAUCUGCAGUCCUGGAGGGUACUUGUGGGGACACAGCCCCAGGAGUAGGGCGAGUUUCUUACCACGUUCCUGCACACCAAUCAGAUGCAGUUCUGCCCAGAUACGUCAGCCAACCUGGUCUUGUGCAAGAAGCUUGCUGGGGGUGUGUGUUUGCAUACCAUGUACUCAUGCAAGAUUUCACAAACUCUGUGCUGCUUACAGCCAGCCUUCACCACUGAGGUUCCUUGCCCUCCUCUCUUGCAUGUUUGAAAGGCUGUUUUCCCUAUUAGCUCCCCUCAAGGACAAGGCACCCACACCAGCAAUCUGACCGCCCUACUUCAUUCUAAAGUGAUGAAAGAGUGUGGAGUGGAUGGGGCCUUUUUUACUCUGGAGGAAAAAAGUGAACUCAAUGCCAGGCACAGAUCCCAGGCUGUGGAGUUCAAAUCGUACUCUGAGCACAUAAUUCCCAUUUGUGUUUGCGUGCAUGCAGGGCGAGGGUGGGAGCUGGAGGGGGAGGGGGGGCUGAAUAUAAGAAUGUAAUUGUCAUAAUUUAAUCCAAAACUACUUCUUGGAAGAAAAAAAAAUAGGCCAACACAAAACAGCAUGUUCAGUUAUAAACACCACAUGAAAGAGCUGUAUUAUGUUCAACUUGGUAACUGCCAUCUAACUUCAGUGUUCUCAGCUGUCCGCUUCUGGGCCAAGGUCUUUCCAGCACUCCCCCAGCCCCAAAGCAAACAAAGGCCCCCAGACAAACGGCAACACAGAUACCAAUUUCUGAGGCCACGGCAAAAUUCCACAUAGAAAGUUCAUUAUAGACAGAAGACACAGGCUGGUGGCUGGAGUGCCUGGGAGCACAGAGCCAUCUGGGACCCACGGCAUGCCCAGCCACGCUGGGGAGAGUGCCUGCAAAGCUCCUGCAAAGCCAUAAAAAAGCUGGCCUGUGCCAUGUGGGAUGCAGAGUGCUUUGUAACCAGAUUUCUCAGCGCUGACCAGUGUAUUCCCAGAGCCAGUCAAUGCUGGCAUCACAGCUGGUUUCUGAUGGAUGUGUGGGUUGGGAGCAAUCACAUCUGAGCGGUGAGGUACAGGGGCCCUUUUGUGCCCCUCCUUCUCCUCCCAGGCUCUCACGUGGUGUGAGUCAUCUGGUGCAAAGGAAGCAUAGUUACUCAGGCUUGGAUCCUUUAGAGGCGCUCACCUACUUUGGAUGACACUUGACCCAAAAUGCUCCCAGGAACGCCAGAGACUUGGCAUUGCUGAACAUGAUCCAGCAGUUGCCCGGGUGACUAAGAAGGCCAGUGGCAUCCUGCCUUGGAUCAGAAAUAGCAUUGUCAGGAGCAGGGAGGAGAUCAUCCCUCUGUACUCGGCUCUGGUGAGGCCACACUUCAAGUACUGUGUUCA